This 292-nucleotide ribosomal RNA is filed under the name uncultured bacterium. RNAcentral describes it as "partial 16S ribosomal RNA". It matches the Rfam family "Bacterial small subunit ribosomal RNA", at positions 505 to 796 of the family's 1533-position model. The record is from RNAcentral.
GUGCCAGCAGCCGCGGUAAGACGUAGGGCGCGAGCGUUGUCCGGAUUUAUUGGGCGUAAAGAGCUCGUAGGCGGCUUGUUGCGUCGUCCGUGAAAACCUGGGGCUCAACUCCAGGCUUGCGGUCGAUACGGGCAGGCUAGAGUUCGGUAGGGGAGACUGGAAUUCCUGGUGUAGCGGUGAAAUGCGCAGAUAUCAGGAGGAACACCGGUGGCGAAGGCGGGUCUCUGGGCCGAUACUGACGCUGAGGAGCGAAAGCGUGGGGAGCGAACAGGAUUAGAUACCCUGGUAGUCC